Molecule: ribosomal RNA, 272 nt
Filed under: uncultured bacterium
Lineage: Bacteria
Description: partial 16S ribosomal RNA
Rfam family: Bacterial small subunit ribosomal RNA
Source: RNAcentral
GAUGAACGCUGGCGGCGUGCCUAAUACAUGCAAGUCGAACGGAGAACUUUGUAGCAAUACAGAGGUUUCUUAGUGGCGAACGGGUGAGUAACGCGUUGGUGACCUGCCCCGAAGUGCGGGAUAACAGUCCGAAAGGAUUGCUAAUACCGCAUGUGGUUUUCGGAUUUAGAAACCGAUCUCUAAAGCAGUAAUGCGCUUCGGGAGGGGCCUGCGUCCCAUCAGCUAGUUGGGAGGUAACGGCUCACCAAGGCUACGACGGGUAGGGGACCUGA